GGUCCGAUGGUGUAGUUGGUUAUCACACUCGCUUCACAACCGCCAUUCCGCGUGUGCAGGAUGGCAUUUAGAUGCGUUCGCGAGAGGUCAUGAGUUCGAGCCUCGUUCGGAUCA
Puccinia graminis f. sp. tritici CRL 75-36-700-3 is the source of this 114-nucleotide non-coding RNA. Lineage: Eukaryota; Fungi; Basidiomycota; Pucciniomycetes; Pucciniales; Pucciniaceae. The record is from the annotation of a RefSeq genome assembly.